UACGUAGGGGGCUAGCGUUGUCCGGAAUCAUUGGGCGUAAAGAGCGUGUAGGCGGUCCGGUAAGUCCGUUGUGAAAGUCAAGGGCUCAACCCUUGAAUGCCGGCGGAUACUGUCGGGCUAGAGUCCGGAAGAGGCAAGUGGAAUUCCCGGUGUAGCGGUGAAAUGCGCAGAUAUCAGGAGGAACACCAAUGGCGAAGGCAGCUCGCUGGGACGGUACUGACACUGAGGCGCGAAAGCGUGGGGGAGCAAACAGG
Molecule: ribosomal RNA, 254 nt
Filed under: uncultured bacterium
Lineage: Bacteria
Description: partial 16S ribosomal RNA
Rfam family: Bacterial small subunit ribosomal RNA
Source: RNAcentral